Molecule: long non-coding RNA, 246 nt
Filed under: Gallus gallus (chicken)
Lineage: Eukaryota; Metazoa; Chordata; Aves; Galliformes; Phasianidae
Description: long non-coding RNA NONGGAT003430
Source: RNAcentral
ACGUCCUCCCCAUCGAAACAAGAUGGAGAGCCUCCGUUUGUGUCUAUACACCGAUGGUGAAACCUGCCCCAUCUCCUUCCUCACAGCUCAGUGACAAACGUGUUCAACAUUGGCAGGCAGCUCCUGCACAGCACUGUUGGGUGCUAAGCCCUGCACUUGCUGCUGUGGUUGGAAAGGACAGGCUACAUGAAGCACACCAGACACAAGAUCUUGGGUGAGACUGCAAACUGGUAAUCUCCACCUCCC